UAUUGCCCUGACCCCGGAAUUCCUCUCCCAUGACCAGGACCAGCUCUUCCAGAAGCUUCAGUAGCAUGGGAAGUCAGUGACAGCCCCAUAUAAGUACCUGAGGAAGUGCCAUGUGGAACCUAUGGAACUGUCCAGCAAUAGAGAAGUGAUUGAAUUAUUCAUGAUCUGAGAUGGUGUAACCAUCCACUUUACAGAGUGGAAAUGGAGGUUCAGAGACUCCAAGUAAAUUGCCUGAGAUUGGAGCGAAUAAAUGGAUGGAGCUGGAACUCCAACCCACGUGUAUC
Suricata suricatta (meerkat) is the source of this 284-nucleotide long non-coding RNA. RefSeq lists it as uncharacterized. Lineage: Eukaryota; Metazoa; Chordata; Mammalia; Carnivora; Herpestidae. The transcript has 3 exons. The record is from RefSeq and is a predicted model, not a curated record.